UGUUAUGAUUGUAAAGCGACGGCCAUAU
Molecule: small RNA, 28 nt
Filed under: Bombyx mori (domestic silkworm)
Lineage: Eukaryota; Metazoa; Arthropoda; Insecta; Lepidoptera; Bombycidae
Description: ovarian small RNA-36057
Source: RNAcentral